This 959-nucleotide ribosomal RNA is filed under the name uncultured marine bacterium. RNAcentral's name for it is "bacterial SSU rRNA". It matches the Rfam family "Bacterial small subunit ribosomal RNA", at positions 59 to 1062 of the family's 1533-position model. The record is from RNAcentral.
AAGUCGAACGGAGUAGCAAUACUUAGUGGCAGACGGGUGAGUAACAUGUGGGUAUCUACCCUAUGGCCUGGAAUAACACGAGGAAACUUGUGCUAAUACUGGAUAAGUCUUUACGGAGAAAGCUUUAUGCACCAUUGGAUGAGCCUGCACUUGAUUAGUUUGUUGGUAGGGUAAUGGCCUACCAAGACUUUGAUCAAUAGCUGAUUUGAGAGGAUGAUCAGCCACAUUGGGACUGAGACACGGCCCAAACUCCUACGGGAGGCAGCAGUGGGGAAUCUUGCACAAUGGAGGAAACUCUGAUGCAGCGAUGCCGCGUGAGUGAAGAAGGCCCUUGGGUUGUAAAGCUCUUUCGUCGGGGAAGAAAAUGACUGUACCCGAAUAAGAAGGUCCGGCUAACUUCGUGCCAGCAGCCGCGGUAAUACGAAGGGACCUAGCGUAGUUCGGAAUUACUGGGCUUAAAGAGUUCGUAGGUGGUUGAAAAAGUUGGUGGUGAAAUCCCAGAGCUUAACUCUGGAACUGCCAUCAAAACUUUUCAGCUAGAGUUUGAUAGAGGAAAGCAGAAUUUCUAGUGUAGAGGUGAAAUUCGUAGAUAUUAGAAAGAAUACCAAUUGCGAAGGCAGCUUUCUGGAUCAUUACUGACACUGAGGAACGAAAGCAUGGGUAGCGAAGAGGAUUAGAUACCCUCGUAGUCCAUGCCGUAAACGAUGUGUGUUAGACGUUGGAAAUUUAUUUUCAGUGUCGCAGCGAAAGCGAUAAACACACCGCCUGGGGAGUACGACCGCAAGGUUAAAACUCAAAUGAAUUGACGGGGACCCGCACAAGUAGUGGAGCAUGUGGUUUAAUUCGAAGAUACGCGCAGAACCUUACCAACACUUGACAUGUUCGUCGCGACUUUAAGAGAUUAAAGUUUUCGGUUCGGCCGGACGAAACACAGGUGCUGCAUGGCUGUCGUCAGCUCG